AUACGGAGGGUGCAAGCGUUGCUCGGAUUUACUGGGCGUAAAGGGAGCGCAGGCGGCCUAUUAAGUCUGAUGUGAAAGCCCAGGGCUCAACCCUGGAACUGCAUUGGAUACUGGUAGGCUAGAGUAUGUUAGAGGAAAGCGGAAUACCUGGUGUAGCGGUGAAAUGCGUUGAGAUCAGGUGGAACACCGGCGGCGAAGGCGGCUUUCUGGGACAUUACUGACGCUGAGGCUCGAAAGCGUGGGGAUCAAACAGGAUUAGAAACCCCAGUAGUCC
This 274-nucleotide ribosomal RNA is filed under the name uncultured bacterium. RNAcentral describes it as "partial 16S ribosomal RNA". It matches the Rfam family "Bacterial small subunit ribosomal RNA", at positions 523 to 796 of the family's 1533-position model. The record is from RNAcentral.